This 31029-nucleotide long non-coding RNA is filed under the name Ananas comosus (pineapple). Its description in RNAcentral is "long non-coding RNA (ACOM_LNC019243)". The stretch from base 14624 to 14713 matches the Rfam family "Small nucleolar RNA Z161/Z228". The record is from RNAcentral. Lineage: Eukaryota; Viridiplantae; Streptophyta; Magnoliopsida; Poales; Bromeliaceae.
UAAAUUUAGGUGCAAAAUGGAAGACAUUCUCUUAGAAAUGGAUCGGAUUUUGCGCCCAGAAGGUGCAGUUAUAUUCCGAGAUAAUGUCGACGUCUUGAUUAAAGUAAAUAAAGUAAUUAGUGGGAUGAGAUGGAACACGAAGAUGACGGAUCACGAGGACGGCCCUUUUGUCCCCGAGAAGAUACUUUACGCUGUUAAGCAGUAUUGGGUCGGCGGGAGCGAUAGUGCUUGACGGUUAAUAAAGGAGACUAACAUUUUUAUGGAGUUCAUCGGCUACUUCCUGAAGCUGAUUUUAAGACGCACUUUUCAGGCGGAAAAGCUGCAACCAAAUUAGGUGGUUUCACGCAGUCCGCGAGCAGAAGGAAGCUUGGAGUUUUCUGUGUUUGCAAGUUGUAGAAGUUAAUGUAUUGAUGUUUGGUAGUGUUUUAGCUUAAUGUAGUGAUCAUAAUUAUUGCUUCAUCAUCAGUGCCUUCUUUUCUUUUCUUUUCUUUUCUUUUUUUUUUUCCUUUUCUGAGGAAUUUACUUAACUAGGCUUGAUGAUGUAAGCACCGGAUUAUUUAUAAUUUGAGCUGUAAAAAUUGCAUGGUUCAAUCUUAUGGGCUAAAACAUUUCCUGCUUGAAUUUUAAUGUGCUUUGAUGCCCUAAAAAUGUUGAUAAUUUACAUUGAAACUUCAAAGAACUUGCAUACCUUUGCACUGCAUAUGAAUUUAAAAUGUGUUUGCCUUUUCAAAUGUUGACACUUACGACCGCAAUUAUGUGUUGUAUAUAUUUUUCUGUAAACUACUCUGUGCUAGUGUGUGUGAAUUGUAAAAUCCAGAUCCAAAUUUGAUUUCUAACCUAAACAAAAGCUCCUAUGCCCAAUUUUUCACAUGGGGUUUCAUGUCCAUGUCCAGUUACUUCUCCCACCUCAUAUCCAGUUAUAUUUUGUAAACAUAUCAGUGAUUAAAAUCUCAGCAAAUAUUAUUUUCACCGAUGAAACAAAAAGAAUUCAGAUACCUGAAGAUACAAAAUAGAAACUCAAUCUGCAUGAAGACCGAAUUACAUAACUCAAAAUGGCAGGUCUCUAUUCACAUGAAUGACAACAAGCCUGGGUUUUCUUUUUAGAUCAGUUAUCUAGGGUUCUCUUCCAGAGUGUUGGUUGUGAGAGUAAGGCCACUACUACUACAUUGCUCAUCUGGUGUUCUUGUUACUACAAGGCUAGUAUGAAGCAGUUGCCCUGGCCAAGAAUCCAAUGAAGCUGGGUAUCUCGCAUGCGGCCGCCUCACGUUGGAGGGCGCCUCGCCCUCCUCCCGUGCUGGCUCCGACACCGGGAAGAGCUGGAGCUCUCGGGGCGGGGUUGGGCAGACCAGCCCGAUAACGGCAGGCGGAGGCUGCGCCAGUGGCUGGGGGUGAUGGCGGUUGUGGUGGUGGGGCGGUUGGAUCGAAAUUGCAGGGUGAGGGGUGGCGAGACGGCUUAGAGAAUCUGUGCGGUUGGUCCAUACCGGAUGAUCAUAGCCCAUUCUUGCCUGAAGCUCGUUUUGUAGUUCGGUAAUUUGGGUUUGGAGUGCCGUGUUCUCGUCUUUUAGUUCGUUCUUUUCUGUAGUUACCUGCUCAUGAGCAUUAUGUUAGAAUUCCCAUUUGAUGCAAAAAAAACAGAAGGGUCAAUUCCUAUUGUCAAAUAUCCAAUGCAUGGUGAUUAAAGACUCGGCUAAAUUAAAGAAGAAAUGAAAAAAGGGUACAAAUUCGCUCGCCCGUGUCUCAAUUACCCUUACGCAUAAAAAGUUGCAUCAAUUUAACCCUGCAUUUUACUACUGUCCCGAAUAGGUCGAAAAUUUUAGGACAGUUAUUGAUUUUGCAUGUAGUUAUAAAAGUAAAUGAAAGGUGAGGGUUCUCAAUCCAAAAAAGAAAAAGUUCAGGCGUCUGUUUCAGAAUAGCUUAUAGUUGAGGGGUCUCCAUACAUAUUUACCUAAUUACAAAUUGUCAGCAUCUACACCGGCGACCAUUUAGAGCAUAGUGAUACCAUGAAAAUCCAGCACAACAUCACAUCAAAGAACUUACGUAGCGAGAUUCGGUCUGUAGAGCAGCAUUUUCCUUUCUGAGACACUCCACUUGAGAAAGGAGAUCGCGCAAUAUUCGAGUAGUGUCGCCCAAUAUGGAUGCCUUUCCGCUAUUUUGUCGGUCCGAUUCUGCAAAUCAAAAUUUAGUUCUUAUCGGAAAAAUGGAAAACAAAUAGUUCGAAAGUUAUUCUGCAACAACCAGAGAACCAAACAGAAGACGCAAUGUUAUUUUUCAAAAAGCUCCUCUCAUGUAUUCUUUCGUUAUUUACUUCUAAGAUAAUAUAAGGGAAAACUUCAAAAACCCCCCCUGUGGUUUCGUAGCUUCUCACUUUGGCCCCCUGUGGUUUCAAAUGUAUCAAAUUGCCCUCCUGUGGUUUCGUUUUUAUCUUUUCGAUAGCUUUUUUGUUAAUAUUUCAUUAAAUUAUAUACAAAAAACUUCAGAUACCCAUCUAGAUUUAUCAAAUAUUCACUUUAGUGCCCUUUAAUUUUAACUUUAUCACUGAUUUAAGAAAAAAAAAAUAAUGAAAUUGAUAAGAAAAAGAGAAAAAGGAAACCACAGGAGAGCAAAUUGAUACAUUUUAAACCACAGGGGAGCAAAGUGAGAAACUAUGAAACCACAGGGGAGGUUUUUGAAGUUUUCCCAUAAUAUAAUGCAGUUCCAUCUGAAAAUAUCUAUCCAGUUUAUGCAUAUGAUGUGUAGAUUUGGUGCUAUUUAUGCUUAAAUAAACAAAUAAUUGUCUACACAAUUCUGAUUGAGAAAUUAGAUGCUAAUAGAUAUUGGAUUAAAUGGUAUUACACAAAUUACUACCAUUAUUAAAACGAAUGUCGAUAUAUUUCCAUCCUCACAAGGGAUUGAACAGUGGGUAUAGGCUAGAGAGCAUAAGAGACCGCGCCUCAAAUAUAGUUAUAUCUGUUAUAUGUACAACCAAUAUACACCUAAUAAAUGAUAAAAUAACUAUAUUCAGCUGAGAUGCUCAUUGAAGCAGCAAUUUCUACUUAUAAAGCUAUAGAAUAGAAUCUGUGAUAACAUUAAACUGUUAAGUCAUGGUAGCGUUUAUCCAGACGCGCCAAAAAGGAAAAAAAUACAUGUUUAGUUGAGAAAUUAGAGAGAUUGGCAUAAGAUAUUUUAUUCUCAUGAUGAUUGUUACUUUUUACCUUUAUGCUCGUCAUUUGUUUGGCUUUAAUAUUGGGAUUUGCAUUGAAUAGAGAAUGUGGAUAAAACUUUAGAACAUCAGACGAAGAGUCUAGGGAGAAAAGUGUUUCUUUUCUCGCAUAACUCCUUACUCUAACAUAAAAGUUAGAAUUGAUAUUCUGAUGAAAAGUAAAGUUUGACUGGAACAACAAUUAACUUGAGCUUUUUAAUAGAUAGGAUUCGGACCACGCACAAUUAUAACAGCUCUCAAUAAAUGCUGAUUAAGUAGAAUAAAUCACAGAUUAUAAAUAUGCUUACCUAGCAAAUUACCCAGCUCAAGGAAGAGGUCAUUUAACUGGUCGCGUUUAAGUUUCUCUCUCUCAGCUUUGUGUAUUUUCUUCGGGACCUUCCCUUGGCAUUUUCUGUUAGGAGGAGACCUGCAUCAUGGGAAUUUUCAGAUACGGACCAAAAUUUGCUGCAGUGUCAGCAAAUGAGGUUUAUAAGAACUCGAUAAACAAAAAGUUUAUACAAGAUUCACAAGCAGAAGCAUGGGAAAAGUAAUGGUGAAGAGACAAUUUCGGUGAAAAAAACAACAAAAGAUUUCAUAAACAUAUAAGGAAACGGCUGAAAAAAUGAAAUAACUAACAUUACUUUCAUACUGUAAGUAAGCUUUCCUGUUGUUCACUAUUAAUAAUUGCUAAGAACUUGUAUUUGGGGGGAAAAAAAUUGCUACAAGCUUCUUCCGAUGCUAGCAACAUAUUUGGUGAGGUUUCAUCAUGAAUGUAUAUAGAUGCUACUAAAGUGUAGUUUUAUGCGUGAAGUAAGAGCUUGCCACUAUAUUAUUUAGUGGCACGGGUUCAAAACAUAGAAACAGCCUCUCCAAAUAAGGGUGGCGAGAGCCUUGUACACCAGAAAAUCCUUAUGUAACUUAAUUGCAAUAUGCGACUCCUUCCAAAUAUGUACGUAAAAUUUAAGGCUCAUUUGGGCAUGCGGCGUAGCAUUUCACGUUUCACUUGUGUGCACGCUCAUUUGCUUUCCAUUCGGAACAGUACAGGAUGGCAGUUGUGUUCAAUUUUCUCCGUUCGCAACCGCUUAUCCCACUAUACAAGCCGACAUGCUUCUAACAAUGUGUACCGCAUAAGGAUCCACGUACCCUACCAUGCAACUGAACAGAGCCGUAGAUUAACAGAGAAAAGCCCCUUUAGGAAGUAAAUGCCCAAAAGAAGAGGGGGAAAAAAUUACAUAAAACUAUAAUGCGUAUACAACCAAAGAAAUGAAGUUCAUUGUAGAUUACGCUCCGUAAAAGCAAUCGAUGUUUCAUACAAAUGGUCGUCCAAGAUAACUAAAUAUAAAGCACACGAAUGGAUUAAUGAAUUGUACGGUAAGUAAUUCGUAAGUUGCAACAACUAUAAUCAAACUAUGGCGAGUUUUAGAUCUACCCAUCGGUCGAUUUUUCCGUGACACUGUUAGCCGUCGAAGUUGGAUUUUCGGAGACCGUGCUCUGGCUGCUGUCCAGCAUCACGCAAAUCCCCUUUUUCACUUCUUUAUCAUAUAUAACACAAGUUAAAUUAAAUAGAUCAAUAAAUAAAUAAGAAGUAAUUGCAUCUCACUUGAAACAUCCUAUAAAUAGCUACAUCGAAUUCCUAAUACUCUUCCCCUUUUAUAUCAAAUUUUCAGAUAAAAAGUUAGUGAUAUAUAUAUAUAUAUAUAUAUAUAUAUGUGUGUGUGUGUGUGUGUGUGUGUUUUGUUCAUAAAACUCCAUCUUUUGAAGACCAUGACCUUAAGAAACAAAAAACAUUAAAAAAGAUACAAUUUUGUCUAAAAAAUGCGGCUAAAUCAUCAAUAAUUGCGAACAAAUUAUCAGAUUUUUUCCAUAAAUUAAACCGAAUUCAUGAAACUCCUCUCCUCUCUUACCAAUUCUCAGUCACAAACCAAAUCAAAACCCCUGAAUUUCCAACUCCCAAAAUCUAAACACCGGGGCCAAAAAAAUCUAAAUUUAUCAUCAAAACUAGAAACAAUUCACCAAAUUCGCAUCGAAAACACCCGAAAAAAACCCGAAUCAACCCCUCCAACACGGACCCACCAAAUCGCCAUCUCAGAAACCGCGGAAAAGAUUGGGGAUUCGAGAUCGGAACCAUUUUACCUUUACGAAAUUGGGGGAAACGAGAUCGAAGAGGACGCAAUCGAAGGGAGAAUUGAACAAAGGAAGAAUCUAGGGUUUUCGUUUUCCCCUCCUCUUCCUCGUCUUCGACACACUACCACUACGUGUAGUAUAUUGUUGUUUUCGUAGAAAUAUUAGCGUGCACGCGGUUCAUUCGUACGCUCGUGCACCACGUGAAAUAUUUCGGUGUGACAAUACAAUGGACGGUGUAGAUUGAAUCAUACGAGGUGGAGGGAGAAGAUCUAAGGGUGGUGUAUGUUUGUAGGGAUACACCUGGUGUAGGGAAUGAUAUCCAAUCUGAGGAUACCACGUACCCGCGUGUGGCGAACACCCAACUCUACGCCUCCCGUGGGUCCCGCGCCGCCGCAGCAAGUAGUUUGGUGCCACCCGACAGUGGGCCCCGGGUGUAUUUUUCCGCUACGUGGCGCGAAUUUAACGCGGGAGCACGAAGUAAUACGGCUAUAAUACGAUUGCAAUAAAUAAUAAAUUAUUGUUAUACUAAAAUUCGGAUUCAAAUAUACUAUGUGGUUGGAAUAUAAUUAAAAGAUAAUUAAUAUUAUAAUAAUUGAUGAUAUUUAAUAUUGUCGGAACAUAUACAUUGUAUCUAUUUAUGUUUUAAAUCUUUUUUUAUUUUUGCGAACAUUAGUCUCUAAUUAAAAGCAAAAAUUAUUACUGAUAGUUCCUACUAAUUUUUUAAAAAUAUAUUAUUUUAUGUAAAUUAUCGUUUUAUAUUUCUCCUCCAAAUGCUUAGCGGAUUCUAAUAUAUUUUAAACAUGAUUAAAUCUUAUAUAUAAUAAAAGCUGAUUUUUUUUAUUAUAUAGUGAUUAAAAGUAUAAUGCAAGUAAAAUAUUAGAACUAAAAUAUCUAAAUUGAAAGUAUAAGAACUAUUUAAGGGCAUUGACUGUUCAAUGCAUUUGUUAAAAUAAAAGUAUUAAUUGUAUCUCUUUUUAGCCAAAUAUAAGAUGUUGGAUUGAAAAUUGUGCCCAAUAGACAAAAUCUUGAUUGAAAUCUAUAAUAUUUAAAAAAUUUAUAUAUCAAAAAUUAUAAAAUUUAAAUUGUAAUAUUUAGAAAUUAAAGAACUUCUCUUCUUUGUAUAGUGUUGAUCAUUGAGAUUUUGAGACUAUUUAGUUUCCUACUAAUACAUUUGUAAAUCUUAUGAAUUUGCGCUAAAAGUAUCUGUUAAAUUAAAUUUUUAAUCUUAAAAUAUUAAUUAUUGAAAAUUGAGUGCUAUAUUUUUUAUUCUUUAUUUUUUAUUUUUUAUUUUUAGAAGGGAAUAUUUUCCCCUGUCUAAAAGAAGGAUAAGCUCUUUACACAAAUUCCAAAACAAAGUGUGCGAAUUUAAGAAAAAAAAGUGAUUGUAUUUAUCACCUCCUUUUUAUGAACCUCCUCUCUUUACCAAAACUUUACUCUCACUCCUCUCUCCUUUGCAUAUAUUUUUUUUGAAUCAAAAAGGGCCCCAAAAACAAAGAAAAAAAAGAGAAAAAAAAAGGAGAAGUAGAGAUUACAAGGAGUGAUAUCAUGGGCUCUGGAUCUUUUCUCAAGGUGGUUGCAAAAAACUUUGAUGUUCUUGCUGGGUAUGUAAUGUAUUGUAAUGUUUGUUCCCCUGUUCCACUUUACUCUAUUUUGUGGUUCUAUGGUAAAUCCCUUACAUAAAAAUCUCAACUUUUUGUGGAAUUUUAGAUCAAAUAAUUUGUGGGUUUUGUUCUUCUUGUAGCUUUUUGUGGGUUUUGAAGUUGAAUUGUAGGGUUGUGUGUUCUACUCACAGAGAGGUCAAGUUAAAACAAAAAAAAAAAAUUUUAUUUUUUUGCUUUUUUGGUAUGGUUUAGUGGAAAAAAAGUGAUUUUUUGUUUUAUCAAUUAUAAAUUCUCGCACUAUAUAUUGCAAACUUCAAAGUUUGGCUCCAUGGUGAAUUAGUUUUAAAAGUGUUAAUUUCUUUGCAAAUUGAUGAUUUGUUAUCUAGUUACAGUGCAACUGAUCUCUCUCUCUCUCUCUCUCUCUCUUUCGAUUUGUAGCACAUUUAUUUUAAAGAAGUGAUUUUUAGGGUUUUUUUUUUUUUCCUCUUUACUAGGGCUACAUAGUUUUAGGAAUUAAUUGCAUGCAUUCUAAUUAUUAUUUGUUGCAGCUUCUGAAUUCUCUUGAGCAUAGCUUUAGAAAAGAUGUUUUUUUCUCAAUGAAACUUCUUAUUAUUAUGCCGAGUUCCUCGAAACUCAGUUCACAUCCAUGAUACCAAAAUUUCCAUAAUGUUGAAGUGUAAUGCUAAUUGAGGUUUUCAAAACUAUAUGCUUGUAUUUAGUUUGACAUUUUGAACCAAAUGAAUCAAUAAAUCCACAUUGUACCUUGUAUUCUUCUUAAAUUUGAAUUUGUAAUUUCAAGCUUAUAUUUCUUUAUUUUGGUACGCAGGCCGGUAAUUACGCUUCUUUAUCCGUUGUAAGUGUUACUUCCUCUUUACACAAGUUUAAGAUAAGCAAAUUCUUUUAAUUCUUUUUAUGUUUUUUUUUUUUGGGAAAAAGUUACCUCUCGACGAAAUUUUAACAGGUAUGCUUCAGUUAAAGCAAUAGAAACAAAGUCUCCUGUGGAUGAUCAGCAAUGGCUCACAUAUUGGGUUUUGUACUCUUUAAUCACACUAUUCGAGCUUACUUUCGCUAAAGUUAUUGAAUGGUGAAUAUUUUUCUGAAGUGUCAGUUUUAUUUUUUACUUUAUCCUCAUCAAAUGCUCGAGUACUUAUUAACUUUUUUCAUCAUCAUUUACUGUAGAACCAUAACUUUGCGGUGGUGUUCUUUAGAUGUUAAUAGGAAAAAUAAUUCCAAACUAGAUAACAUCUUGGAAAUUUUCAUUAUUAUUUCUGGAAAGUUUAAUUGCUUAUAUCCUCUUAUUCUAUGUUAUUUGUAUCUUAGAGAUAGAAGAGUAAGCUAUCCACUUUCUUUGAGCAGCAAAAAUUUUACAUUUUAUAGUUUGAAAGUCGAGUGUGGCAAGGAUUUAAGUGCCGUGGCAUGAGGUUGUGCUGGAAACUUGCUAGCACGGUAUAGCACGGUGCGUGCUGGGCCGUGCCGAUGCGUAUCGGUCACAAAAAAUAUAUGUGUGCCAACACGUAAUUGCAUGAAAUAUUUAUUUUUUUUUAGCAACAAAAUAUGCCAAUUAUUUUUUGUAUAUUUUUAUCAAAUUUUUUGAAUUUUAUUGAGAAAAUUACCUACUAAUUUCAAAAAUAAAGAGUUUUUGAGUUGUGCUAUCGGCACGAGGGCUGUAUUGUGCCGAUAUUUUGCUGGCACGAUACGGCCCGUGUCGAUGGGCGCUUCAACCCUUGGAGUGUGGGUUUAUUUAAUGGUUCAUUUUGCUAGUGCUUUCGUUGUGAUUUAGAGCUUGUUUUGGCCUAGCUGUUUGAUGAAGCUGUAAUAGUGUUUUCAUUAAAAUCUCCAACAUCUUCCUCGUGCAAUAGAAUUGGAGCUUCUGCCUUUGGAGCCUCGUAGUUCAUUUUUCACUCCUCCCUUCCACAGCAAAUGUUCUUUUUGAAGUCUAGUAAACUAAGCUGUGAUCUAGCAUUCACAAUUGUCUGUUUUUUUUCUCCUUUUGUUUUCUCUUUCUUUUCGUAGGCUUCCAUUCUGGUCGUACAUGAAACUGAUCUUCAAUUGUUGGCUGGUCUUACCCUACUUCAACGGAGCCGCCUAUGUUUAUCAGAAUUUUGUGAGGCCCAUGUUCGUAAAACAGGUCCAGGAAACAGUCAACGUCUGGUACGUCCCGCGGAAGAAGAGCAUCUUCACCAAACCGGACGAUUUCCUAUUCGCCGUCGAGAAAUUCAUCGAGGAAAACGGACCCGAGGCAUUGCAGAAACUCGUAAACAAGGUUUUAGUCAAGCAACAGUCCAUUCUAGUCAGGGUAAAUCGUAUGGAUAUAAAUCCAUUAAUCCCUCUACUAUCCCGAGGUUGCAACUUGGUUGCCGGAACUUUUACGCACGACUGAAAAGGGCAUUUUUGCAGCAAAAGUCGAACUGAUGUCAGAUUAUCUUUUGUUAACAGCCAAUAUUGCAAUUGCAAUAUCUGAGCAAGUUCAGGGGAUUAAAGCGGUCGAGCGAAUAGUUCUAGGAUAAGUUGCAAUAUCGGGAUAGUACAGCGACGAUCCGUACAUUUUACCUAUGGCUAUUAAACACAGUAACUGAUCCUUACGACAACCCCAGUCGCAUUGUCAAUUACAAUAAGAUAACCUGUUCCUUUUUUUCUUUGUUUUAAAUUCAGGCUGAAAAGGCGCCAAAGCCUAAGAAGAGCAGCAAUAAGCGCGUGACAUUUGCCGAGGUGGAGCACGAAACGGAAACGACGAAGUCCGCGAAGAAUGACAAGCAUGUUAUCCACCAUAAGAAAGAUACCGAACAAGAGUCUAGCUCUUGGAGCAGCAGCAGCAACUUCAUGAUUUUCAGUGAUGAGAAUCAUUACUGGACCUAGAAGGCUAGAACCAACCUCUCUCUCUCUCUCUCUCUCUCUCUCUCUCUCUCAAUGUAUCAUAUUGUUGUACUCCUGGUAGAAACCUUUGAGUCAUAUGUAAGUAGUUAGAUGUAUUUGAUAACUUGUAUGUAUAUGUGCUUAAGUAUGUUACAUUGUUGUGUCAUCUGAUGAUCCAAAAGUGAUCCCUUUUUUCUUUUCUUUUUUUAAUAGGUUGGUCAAGUUCUUGUGAAUGUAAUAAACUAGUUAUUGAGUAAUAUGAAAAAUAGAUCGCAUUUUCGCAGCUCAUAUUUUGUUUUAUUUCGCGCUAAGCAUACUAGUAAUUGCGAUUUUUCUUUCUUUCUUUUUUUUUUUCCCUUCCUUCUAGCAUAAUUUGAAUUAUUUUGAGAGGAAAACAAAAAACUCAUGAAGAAAAUACAAAACUAAUUUGGCCAUUCUUAAUUAUUAGAAUUCACUUUCAAUUACAAGCAAAAUAUGAUACAGUUAUUCAAGUUAUCAGCUAGACAAAGGAAUCUUAUAUAAGCUGUACUCACAAAUUGAGUCAAAUGAUCAUACUUUACAACACUUUAUACCUACUCUGCCAACACCCAAAGGCUCAAAAUUUCGUUCAUUCUUUUUGUUCUUAUUUUAACAACUGCAGAGUACCUAUUUGGCUUGGCUUUUAGAACAGCUUCUCUACUUAAAAAGCAACAGUUAAAUGCCCGACAAACAAAUUUAUAUAGCUUUUACUGGAACAUAAGCAUUCGAAACCCCCUAAACACGGGAAGUAGUUAGAGAGAUACUGUCGGAAAAGCUGUUAUUGCCCUUUUCGAUAGCUUUACUCAACAGUGCUUCUCCAGAAGCUCCAGUUAUGUAGAACAAGCACUAGCCAAGAUGUUUUAAGCUUGAGCCAGUUUCAGAAGGGCUACAAAAAGCCAAGAUGGGCGAGUCGACUGACCAUGAAAAAGGAUCAAAGAUCUGAACCACGCCGGAAAUUUUUUCGGGCCUCGAGUUUUUCAGACUUAGCGCGGCCUAGUGAAUUGGGUUUGGUCCAUUGUGCUCAGGUUUACUAACAAGCCAUCUCAAUGGAGCUGCAACCAGCUUCCUUCUUCACCAUCUUGUGCCCUUCAAACUCUCUCGCUUUUGCAAUGGCGUCCCACAUCCCUGCUCCUGCAUAAGUGCUUGACAAAACGACCGAAUCCGCCGGAUGCUCAUCCCCUAACCCUACCAAAUACCUCCGCACCGUCUCCCCCAACUCGACAUUCCCAUGCACCCUGCAGGCUGCAAGCAAAGCCCUCCAAGCCAUGUCAUCGGCUUCUGAAGGAAGCCCUUUUAUAAGCUCAUGUGCUUCUUCCAACCGCCCUGCUCUCCCCAGUAGAUCGAUCACACACCCGUAGUGCUCGGGCUUCGGAGAAAGCUUAUAAUCCCUCACCAUUUUCUCGAAGCACUUCUUGGCUUCUGCCACCAGCCCGCCGUGGCUACAGGCACUGAGGACUGCUAGAAAAGUGACUUCGUUAGGAAGCGCUUUUUCACUUUCCAUCCUAUAAAAGAGGCUAAGGGCGGCUUCAGCCCGCCCGUGGAAGCCAAAUCCCAUGAUCAUAGCAGUCCAUGCCUUCACAUCUCUUUCCGGCAUUUCAUCAAACACUUUAUUGGCAUCAAUGAUGCAUCCGGUUUUCGAGUACAUGUCCACAAGUGCUGUUCCUAGAGCUGAAUCCAACUCAAUAUCCUCCUCUUUAACAAACUCAUGAAUUCGCCGACCUACAACUAAAGCCCCCGAAGAAGCGCAAGCCGAAAGCAACCCCACGAAAGUAGAAGAAUUAGGUUUUGCCCUUUCGCGCCUCAUCUUCUCUAUCAAGCCCAAGGAUUCUUCUACAAGACCCUUUUUUGCGUAGCCGUCCACCAUGCAAUUGUACAAAACCAAGUCUCUUCUUUGUACACUAUCAAACACUUUCCGAGCAUAAUCCAUGCAGCCAAAUUUCACGUACACAGACAUGAUUGCGGUGGCGACGUUUAACUCCGAGCAAAAUCCGAUCUUUAUGCAAUACCCAUGCAAACACUCACCACAUAAGGAACCGAAUUCUACAGAGGCUGAGAGCGCACUGACGAUCGAAGCGGCAUUGACCUCCGAACAAGAGGACACCACAUCUCUAAACAGACUCAUUGCCUUCUUCGUCUCCGACACCUGACCAUACCCAUUUAUAAGCGCGGCCCAAGAAACCAUAUCUCUUCUCUGGGGCAUUUCGUCGAACAUAGUAUGGGCAUCGCACAUUUCUCCACAGCAACAGUAGAAAUGGAUGAGGGUGUUCCACACAUUGGGGUACACAUCAAAACCGGACUUUGCGACGAGCCCAUGAACCUGCUUCCCCAGGGGGAGGGUGCGGCACCGGGCAGAGAGCUUGAGGACGGAGACGAAGGGGAACUGGUCCAAGGGGAGGGGUUCGGUCAUUAGGGUUUUGAAGAGGGCGAGGGCUUCGGAGAGGAGGAGGGGGUGGUGGCGGAGGGCGAGGGCGGCGUAGGAGCGGAGCAUGGUGUUGUACUGGAAGAGGUUGGGGGCGGGGAUGAAGCGGAAGAUGGCGCGGGCGUAGAUGAAUGCGGCGGAGGCGGAAUCGGCGGCGCCGCCACCUGCUUCGGCGGCGGCGGCGGCGGAGAGGAGGAGGCUGGUGGGGAAGGGGAGGAGGUCGAGGGCGGAUUUGACCAUGAGGGCGUGGAUUUGGAGGAGGUGGGGGUAGGGUUUGGUGGCGGAGGAGGAGGAGGAGCGGAGGAGGGAGACGACGCGCGUCGAGAUUCGUGCGGGCGCGGAUCUCGGCAUGGCGGCGGACGGUGGCGGAGCAUCUUCUACUUUCACCCGGCGAGUUCGUGUUAUUUACAAACAAGCCACACAAAUAAAUUUGGCCCGAAUUCGAAGCCGAACCCGAACCCGGACCCGAACCCUGUCCGGUUCAAAUUUUACUUUUUGGGCGGUUCACACGCCGCACCAUCAGUAUCACCCCGUCCGCGCCCCUCUCAAAUUCUAGGGUUUCCGCCGCAAGAUAUAAGACCCUCCCCUCCCCUCCUCUCCCCUCUCCUCCCCGUUCGCUACUUACCCUUCACUGGUGGCGGAGGAGAUCGCCGGCGAUGGUUCACGUCAGCUUCUACCGCAACUGUAAGCUCCCCCUUGCAUCGUUCGAUCUCAUUAUGGUUAGGGUUAGGGUUUUCAUUGCUUGUUGUCGUGGCGAUUGCUUCUUUGUUGGCCAUCUUAGAUCUCUUUAUUUGGUCGAUCUCAUUAGGGUUUAGGGCUUGUGUUAGGGUUUUCAUUGCUUGUUGUACCGGUGAUCUUAUUGGGGUUAGGAUUAAGGUUAUAAUUGCUAAUGGUAGUGGUUGUCACGUUUUUGUAGGCUCCCCUCAGAUCUUAGAUCUCUUAUUUUGAUGGAUCUCAUUAAGGUUAGGAUCUUUGUUGCUUAUGGUACUAGUAAUCUCGUAGUGGUGGGGCCCCUCCUCCCUAUCAGAUCUUAGAUAUCAUCAUUUUGUCGAUUUAUUAGCGUGAGGUGUAGGGUUUUAAUUGCUUGUGGCAGUGACGGUGACAGUGACAGUGGCGAUCUCAUCUUUGCAUAUCCUCAGCUUCUAUUGGUUGAUUUUAUUAAGGUUAUGACUAGGGUUAGGGUUAGGAUUAGGUUUAGGAUGCUUCAUUUCUGAUGGUAGUGGCUAUCUCGUCAUUGCAGAUGGGAAGACAUUCAAGAAGCCGCGCUGGCCCUAUGAGAAGGAGCGCCUUGACGCCGAGCUGAGGCUCGUAGGCGAGUACGGCUUGCGGUGCAAGUGGGAGCUUUGGCGGGUCCAGUAUGCACUGAGCCGGAUCCGGAAUGCGGCGAGGGAGCUCCUCACCCUUGACGAGAAGAACCCGCGCCGGAUCUUCGAGGGAGAGGCCCUCCUCCGCCGCAUGAACCGAUACGGGCUCCUUGAUUAGAAUCAGAACAAGCUCGAUUAUGUCCUUGCGCUCACUGUUGAGAACUUUCUAGAACGUCGGCUUCAGACUCUUGUGUUCAAGACGGGGAUGGCCAAGUCCAUUCAUCAUGCCCGGGUUCUAAUCAGGCAGAGGCACAUUAGGUAUAAUGUAUUGGGAUUUUUUAGCCUCUUAUUUGUUAUGCAUAUUGGAAAUCUAUGUGUUAGAUUUGAAACAUCUGCUCAUGCUUUGGCCUUUUUUUUUGCCUUAGUAAUUGUAUAUGUGUCAUAACUUUAGGGUAAAAUAUAUGGAAGUCCCUGUACUAUCUUGAUAUUGUGGCUUGGUUGUUUUACUUUUCACUUGAAUACUUUGGCAUGAAAACUUGACAUAUGUUGCACUUUUGUUCCUAGGCGAAAAAUAUGGUUUGUCGUUCAUUAGAACUAUUAGACCCGUUUCCUUGAUUCACUUAACAAAAAGUUCGGAUUUUUUGAAGUGAUUAAAUUUGAAGUACAGGGACUGUAUAUUGGUAUAGUACGAGGAAUACACCUACAUUUUUUGCAUAACUUUUUGUUAGUUUGUAGUGCUCUCUUAUAAAAUGGACGUGCUUGUAGUUGAUUUAUACAGCUGAUUUGUAGAUUCAUGUAUUGGCUCUCUCCAUUUCUCCUUUGGGUGCAACUAUUGUACUAUGUGCAGUUUGAGUAGAACUGUAUCACUUGCUUCUUGUUUGGUACAUAGAGAGUCAUGUGUGAUUUGCUCAAACUGGAUGCUGUAAUCUCACAACUGUGUAUAAACAGAAAUUUUGUUUUUAAGAUAAGUCCUCUAAUGACUGACUGACUUCUAUGAUAUCUGCUUUUUGAACCUACUCAAUCCGAAACGUAUUUUUGAAAAUUUGGAUGACUAUAUGUUGAGCGCAUAAUUAAUAUCUUCUUAUGAUGAUUUAUUGAUGGUGGUUCCUUUGGGUUGAUUUAAGAUGGGCAAUAUGAUGAGAAUAUGUAAAUUACUCACGACGGUCGUCUGAGGCACUUAUGUGUCUACGCUGAUGCAAAAAUCUCUCUGAUGCCUAACUUUAUUCCCCCCCCCACACCUUUAGUUGAGAUUGAUAUUAUAUUUUUUUUCCUUUUUUUUUGGUUUUUAUACUGUAUAUAUUUCUUUGAGACAACGCUUUCCUAAAGAGCUGUUUGGUUUAAGGUUUUUAUUAUUUUGGAAAUAUUGUAUAUUUUAUAUUGGGAAUGACAAGUUUGUUAUUAACUUAUUGAGCCGCAUGUUGGAGGUUGUUAAGAACUAGUAUAUUCUUAUUAAUGGAUUACUAGUAAUUCUCAUCAAGCAUGAAAAUGAGAAACCUCCUAAUCCGUGAUAAUUUAGUACUCCUACCCCUUAGGUAUUGAACUAAUACUUUUUACAACUAUUCAACUUGAGUUGAAUGAUAAUGAUUUGAAUAUUUUCAAUAAAAAAUGUAGAGGAUUAUCGGAAUAUUAUAAAUUGUGAACCAAACAGGCCUAGGACUUUAAUAUCUAUUUCCUGAGAAAUCAUGAGUGCGCUACUGUACUGUUUGCUGUCUACUUAUAUCUACUUGCUUAUAACUUAAUUGCCCAAAUUUUCUUCUUUUUUUUUUCCCAAUUAUUUAUUUUGAAUAUAAAUGACUUUGCUAUCGAAAUCACUCCUUGCGGAGUUGGGAGUCAUGGUUAGGGUAGAUUCGGAGAAGCACAUUGACUUCUCGCUCACGAGCCCAUUCGGCGGGGGCCGCCCGGGAAGAGUGAAGAGGAAGAACCAGAAGGCUGCGGCAAAGAAGGCGGCCGGGGGCGACGGUGAUGAGGAGGACGAGGAGUGAGUGCAGUACCCUUAACGACGAAUAGGUGCUGCAGAGCCCCAUCAGUUCUCUUUCUCAUGCAAACCUUUGAAUUCGAUGUCGGCCGAACUGAUUCUUGCUAUAAGCUAUAGAAGGAUAAAUUACAUGUUUCUUUUUUUUUUUUUUUCUUGUUUUUCUUUUUUAACUUUUGUUUUAGUGGGCUCCGCUGGAUAAAUUUUGAUGCAUGUUCUUGAUGUUAAUUUUGAUUAUGACAAUUGUACCAUUGUAGUUUUGGUCUUGGGCAUUAUAGGUUAUUCAUUUUUGUGAGGAGAAUUGAAGAGACUCUUCUCUGUUUUCCCUUUUCUAUUUUUGAGCAACCAAUGUGCUUAUUUUUAAGACUUCUGCUGUUGGGAUACUAAUGCUGUUUUCUCUUAUGUUUUCCAUCCAUGAAUGCUCUCCUCCUGCUUCUCUCUCGCUCUCCAAUUAUUUCUUUUGUGUGCAUAUGAUAUUAGAAUUAGAUGGAAGAAUUAUGGCUUAGUCCAGCUGUUCUUAUUCUGGGAGAUCAUCUUGUAACUCAGGAAAUUGAAGCCCACUUGUGUAUUUACAGGAUUUGAUCUACCGCCUUUUCGGAGUAAAAUUUGGGUUACGAGGCCUGCAGACGAUCCUUAAAGAAGCAGAAAGAAAGAAGAAAAAGACACCGACCGUCCUUAGAGCAUGUCGCAAAGGGCUUGGUGGUUGAUACCCGAGAUCCAAGUUCGAAUCCUAGUUGAUUCAUAUUUUCAGCUAAGUUUACUUCUAAAUGAAAUAAACGAAGCGGGUUGCGUGCUACCUAUCUCUCAAAAAAGAAAAGAAAAGAAAAGAAAAAGAUAGAUAGUAAAAUUAGAGGGAGAAUUAAGAGCAGAACCCUCUGGAUCUCAUUUCCAAAGCUAAAUUUGAACCAUAGUUAAUUUGAAUUUGACAAAAAUUCGGUACGAGUAUAAUGCGAAUAAAAUUUGUCUUUUAAUUUUUAAAUUUGUUGAAAAAUACGACUUAAAAAAUAGAUUCAUCAAUUAUUCGGAUACACAAUUUAUACGUUCGCCAAUUAACAAUUCGGUAGAAAAAUUGGGCUAUUACAUAGCUAUAAAUUCUUAAAAAUAUAAAAAAGAGCUACAAAAUAAAGUAGAUUAAGUGAAAAACUUAAUAGCAAAUUUUAUUAUCUUCUCCAUCUUAAUCUUUUUCAUGAUCCACGCAUUUCGAAAGUUCACGAAGUUUUUCAAUAAUUGGUGAAUAAUUUGGCAAUAAUUCAAAAAGAAAUUUUAUCUAAAAAAUUUGUGUAUUUUUUUGGCCGAAUAGUUCGACAUACGUGAAUUAUUCACGAAUAAUAAAUUUAACUAAAAAAUUUGCAUAUUAUUUCGAUCUUUUGAGAAUAAAUCGUAUAUGGGCCGUUUUAUUCGAAUUUUUAAUAAUUUGCAAAUUAACUAAAUUUGAACUAAACCAAUGUCUAAAAUCUACAAAUGUCUAAUGGGUAUUGACAUUUUGACAGCAACAAUGGCAUUAUAAUGAAAUCUCAAAUUUCGAAAUAUGCCUUGAUUUUCUUUUUCAUGGAUGUUUCUAAAUCCAGAGAUGCGUAUUACUUCGUGAGUUGACAAAAGUAUUUCACUCCAGCCGACUUCCUUUGUCCCACCCUGCUUCUACUUCGAGGUGCCCACAGCCUGCAGCACUGCAACCAUAGCAACAAGGUUGGCUGCCGGCUGCUUCACCGCUACGUCCGCAGAUUACAGCUGCCUUCAGUAACUCCGCGAGAGGAGGGCAGACUAAACCAUCAGUCGAUCUGCGCAUUCUGACAUCAUGAAAAACCAUCCCAAGAUCAUCAAAAAGAUGACUGUCUGGAUUGCGCGCCAGGUGCGACUGAGAUCGGUAAGUACACUCGUACUGCAAGCACCAUCACAAUCACAAACAUAUCAAGUACUAUCCGCGAGGUGGCAGUGAACAGCAAUGCAUGGAGAUGCUGAUUCUCUACAGAAGAAAAAAAAAAGAAAAAAAAGGCAUCUAAACUGGUUAGCAUAUCCACAGGAACAAGCUUUAUUCUUCGGCAUCAAAAUAAAUCAUAAGAGUGAAUCAAACACAAGCACAUUGAUGGACACAGAAAAGUAAAUUCGCAUUAAAAACCAAAAAAAGAAAAAAAAAAGAAGGCUGGCAGCAUGAUCACAAAAUGUUGAAGAAAGCUUGUGAGCGAAGCGCCGAUUACUGAAAAAUGCAACAUCACUAGAAAAUGAUUCGAUCCUCUUAUUUCUCAAAAUCGAGAUAUCAAGCUAGGAUUGCGAUGCGUACAGAUGAUACAUUUGAUACUGCGGGCGCAAGAAUUCUCCAGAAGCAUCUUCUGAAACAAAAAAAAAAAGGCGCUUCAGAAGUGGUAAAUAUAAAUUAGAUUGAUGCAAUUUAACCUGUAUUACUUGCAAAAGACAAAUAUGACAUGAAAUGCAACAACCGAAGAAACGACGUUAUACGCAUCGACCUAAAUUGAGAUGAUGAUGUAAUAACUGUUACCCAUUUCUGCAAAUGAGACAAGAAAAGAAGGAAUAUGGAAGUACAAUUAUUCUGAUUAAUGCUUCCAACUUGCAUCAGAAAAGACAAAUAAUCGAACAUAUUCGGAAAAAAAAAGAAAAAGAAAAAUAAUUCUACUGUUUUGAGGAAGUGACUCAAAAAAUAAAACAACUCAAAGUGCGUGUCAAAAUCCAUCAUAUCUGAUUUAUUUUGUAUCCUAUUUUGACUUGUGAAGCCAUAUUUGGUUUUAAUCUACUGAAAUAGCAUAACGCAUCCAAGUUAUGCUUACUUUUAUGUGAUAUAGAAACCAAGUGUAGCCUUUCGAGUUCUAUUCUCCGAUGCUCAUCGUCUUUGCUGUUCAAAGUAACAUCAUUUAUCAUACCUUCUUUUUCCUUUUCUUCUGCUCAUAUUGAAGCAAAUUCGCUUUUUACAAAGUCCCUGGGCAUAAAUUCAGAUGCUUAUUCCGCUUCAGAAUAAUUCUCCACUAAGUUAUUCCCUGUCGAAUAAGAAGGCAUUUAUAGUUGCAGAUAUAAGAUGCCGAAGAAUGCGACAAAAGCGGAAUAAGCAUUUCAUCAGUUAUAGUUCCCUCGUGAAGAAUAAGUAGAAGAAGAGUAUUUCAUACAACUUCAUAUAUGAAAGAAGUAAAUCAUCAAAUAUGCUAAAUUAAUGCAUAUAAUGUAGCACGAGAAAGAGAAAAAACAAUUUCCUUAUAAAGAUAUUCUCAACUUUACUCCUUAAGAAUUGCCUUUUUCAAAAUAAAACAAGAGAGUAAUACUAACAAUUGCUUAGAUUCAUGUAAUCAAAAAGGAAUAAUUUAGUAAGAUCAAACUAUGAACUCACGACUCUUCUGUAACAUAACUAAUUCGCAAUUUAACGAAGGAGAUAACUCACCAGUUGAUUGAACAUCACAUGGAAUCAUUUCGGACGAAACCCAUAUGCAAGCAAUGCUAAUGUUAUCUAAGCAACCAUACUUACUUCCAUUUACAUCACCAUUCAAUACAUUUACCUCGCCACGAUGUCAAAAAGAAGGUGAGUUAAGUGCUUCGUUUUAGUCAAAAUUAAAACAAAUAACUACGUAUUUAACGAGAAUCUGAUCCGAGUAAAAUAACUCAUGGCCUAAGAAGAGCUCCAAAAGAAUUAAAAAAAUAAAAUCUUUAUCCACUGGGAAACUAGGUUUACGCUUUCCAACUUGCUUCACAUUAUUACCCGCAAAUUGUUCCACUAAUUAUACAAGACUAUCAUAUAUUCCUACUUUUUCUAAUGUUGACUUAAAAAGAAGCAUUUAAUCGUAUUCAUCUAGCAACUCCAAGAAACAAAUAGGUCAUACCCGAUAAAUAAAUUAUAGCUUUUCACAAAAUUCUUUUUUUGAUGCUUAUGCCUAUUUUUAGUACCAUCACUUGCUUAUUAUGGUUUUCCUUCCGUUCAUUUACGAUCUUUUUCUUUCCUUUUUCUUUUUUGUUGGCUCUUUGUCAGUUCAUAUUGAAACAAUCCCCCCUUACAAAGUUAUCCAAGUAUUAUUCUUGAUGCUUAUUCUACUUCAAAAAAAAAAAAACUCCACUAAUUUAUUCCUUGUAAUGACUAACUUCAUUAAAUAAACAAGGCAUUUAAUUACUACGUAUAAAGAUGCCGAAGAACGCGGUAAGAAGCCAAUUUUGGUUAAUUAACUUAAUGUCAUCAAUUAAGAGCUCAUUUAGUCUGUAGAACAUAAGAGCAUCAAAUACUCAGUUGUAGUAAAAUGAUAACAAUCUAUGUCGAACAAGUUGUAGUUAAAUGUAGGGACAACUUAAAAAGGCCUUCCUAAGGAUAGUGCGUUUGCAGUUUACUACUUUGCGGUUCUAAAUGUAACACUAACGCGCUUAGGUUUCUGUUUUAGUUCUAUAUAAAGGACCUUCUUUUAAAGGAGUAGCAAAAGUGAUCUGUUUAGUAAAGGUAUCAUGCGAGCAGGUCUGUGCAGAGAACAGAAACAGAAACUACAGGGGCAAAGAACUACACGUAAUCUUAAAUGCUAUAUAAAAGCAGCUAACGAUCAAUUGAACAGGUGAGGAAAGAUUUGACUGAAAAAGAAUAAGCAAGAAGAUCCAUUAACAACAGCGAAGCAGCCAACUUUUGAUGUGAAAAUAGAAAACCAACAUGAAAACAUUCCAAACCUUUAAAGUGUGAUACUACAUGGAGUGUGAUCAUCCAAUUACCGUAGCGAAUUCAGAAGCAGGAAAACAAAAAGCACUUGAUCAGAAAACGACAGCAGCGCUCAAACCUGUAGAGUGUUUAAUUAAAGUUAGUAUUACUAGAUCAAUUUCCUAACUAGAGUAGUUCUAUCCAAAGCUACUACAAAUUUUGAGCAGAUUAUGCAUAUCAUCACAAAUGAAUAGGGUAUGACUUAAAUUGAUUUUUAAUUACUAAUGAUCAUAAAAAGUAUCAAAUAGUCGAAAAGAUACAGUUUCCUUUUACUGACAUCUCAGAGUGUUGUUGCAAAGCCACAAGCGAAAGAGAACUUCCGAAAAGAUUAUUUAUGCACGAAAUGUAGAGGCCUAAAAGUAGUAAGAUGGCCUAACGUAAAGCAUUUAUGUUUCAGCUUUGCCUAUAAAGAAACUAACAUUAACUAGACUUUUCAAGUUCUAGAAUACAUAAAGAGCUUCAAUCUCUGUCACAAAAUUGUACUUUUCUCAAAGUAAAAUAAAAAAACAUUAUUCUAUUCUGCACACCUUUAUUGUAAAAAAUAAAUAAAAAUUGAGCAAUUCCAAAUGUGAGGUCGUAAAUCAUAGUAUCUUAUUGGUCAAAUUGAAAAGUUGAAAUUCAACGGCACCCUUGUUUUCUUCUUUUACUUCCUGCAAAAGCAAAACAACGGAAAUGAAUGAAUUUUCGACCAUAUAAAAACUCACUCGUUCUUUUUUCUUCCUUUUCAUCGAUUUAUUCCAAGUUCACAAAACCAUGCAGAUUCUCACUUCAGCAUUUGCUUCCCAUAUGGUUCCUCACUUUGCGUGUUUAAGAGAGUUGCGAUUCGGCACCAACUUUUAUGUAGCAGUUAAUCAUAAGUGCAAAAUUUGUCGCACAAUACACAAAUCCGGCAAGGACAUCUAAUAGAGUAUACUACACUUAAUUUGGCGUAUUCACUAUUCACAUGUUAACAGCUAAAAAAACUUAUUAGCGCAUUAACAGGAAAGGCAAUAAAGGAGAUCACAAGAGUCAUAUUCUAACACAACAAAGCUAGAGACAAGUAAGACAACUGUGCGGUGCGGUUUCAGUAAAGAGAAAAAAUGAAUUAGUGAGAAACACUAUUAUACAGUGAGAAAAUGAUACGUAGCUGUUUACAUGGGCACAGUAAUCAUCAAUAUCAUUGAAACUACUCGAAGUUACCGAAUUCAGUAAAUCAAAUUUUCUUAAGCCAACACUCGAUUUCAUCGAAUUGAAGCAUUCAAAUGCGUGAAUGGUAGAAUUUAAGUAAGAGUUUGGGAAGCAGUUUCAAGCUAUUUUACUUGAAAAAGGUUGGAAGAAAAGAGUUGUUGUUCCGUGCCACGACACUGGUCUGCGCCACGUAGUACUAGCGACCACCGCCAUGCAUGGGCAUGCCAUGCAUCGUCUUGACACGUCGAGUGCCUUUAGAAACAAUGAACGUUACAAUCCGCAAUCUUCUAGUCAAUGUCUCACACCUAUUGUCUCACACCUACUCGCUAACCUCGCACGUCCUGACUUUGCGUACCUAAAAGAUCGGCAGUGACUGCCACGGUGCAUGCCAACUGGUACCGGCAUCCAUAAGCACGGCUAUCCAUCGUCUGGACACGCCACUUGCCUUUAUAAAAAAGUAACACAACUGUCCACAAUCUUCUACUCGAAGACUUGCACCUACUGCACAAGCCUUGUGAAAGCUCACUUUACUAUGCGCUAACCUCGCGCUUCCUAACUUUGCGUAUCUAAGAGAGCGGCGAUUCCCCGGAGCAGCUUUAACCUGUCGACUUCAAGAACAUCAGUAUGAAAAUUGUUGGGCAACGUAGAAUUGAACAAGAACAUGAAUUACAGUACGUUACACGAGUUUGGCGUAAUCCCACGGUAACGAAAGAGAGCUUGUUUACGUAUUAGUGGGAAAAGCAACAAAGGAGAUCACGCGAGCCGUCCUAAUACGACAAUGCUCGAUUUAAAUACGGCCAUUGUUUGGAUUAAGUAAAGAAACAGCUCGAAAUUUACGAAACUGUGGACCAAAUAGAAGAUUUCUACAUUGAAGAGUUUCUCCCGAGUUAAUAAGCAGUAAGUUCCAUAGGUUGAGGAACAUGGUUUUAUCUAUAAGAAAAUGAAAUCGAUUAAGGAAACUCAAGAAUUAAACGAUUUUAUUCCGUAAUGAGUUUAAAAGCAAGAGAGCAAGCCUUAAUCACAAUACCGAGUAAAACUAAAGAUUUUUCAAAUCUCUUAUGAAUAAAUAAAAUUACGAAUAGAGGCAAUUGGAGAUGACGACAUAAAUUACUCGAUCAUAUCGUGAACAACUAAGAUGCGAAAUAUAUCACACGACAUAAACAAAUUAUGAGUUUUACAUAAUUCGCAAAGUUAUACGAGCACAUGUUACAUGAUUUGUGAAAGACUAAUAACCCCCUUCACCAAACAUAAAUCACAUUCCAAGUUCCGACUACUCUUGUAGAACGAAACAAUUUAUGAAACUAAACAUCCAUAAGACUAAAUAGCAUCCAUCAUAAAAAUUAAGGAGAGAGGAGAGUUUGUAAAAGGUAAAAGAUAUUUUUUUGCUUUUUUAUUAUUAACCUAACAUUGUACUUAUAACAGGGUUGGUUACAAAUGCAUGCAAAUAGAAAUGAAGAAAUUAACGGCGAUAAAACGAACAUAAUUCUAAGAACUUAUGAUGAUGAUGAUGAUGAUGAGUUACAUAAAACACAUUUCUAAGGAAUUUUUUUCUUUUUCUUUUUUAAAAUCUUUAUAGAAGUUACCCAAUUAUGAAGAGAAAAGCCGCGAGAUCAGCAGACCAUCACCGCGCAAUUAUACACAAAGCUCCCCGACUGACGGCUGGCGAUCACCUCCCACUCCGGCGGGCCCCCCGCGGUCGGGACCCAUGAGUUGAGCUCGAUGACCCCUCCGGCCCCGGCCGAGACCCCCCGCCCCCCGAUCACAAUCAGGCGGUCCCCGCACGCCUUGAACGCCAGCCCCCAGCCGUUCAUCGACACCGACCGCUCGGGCAGCCUCCCGAGCGUCGCCCACGCGUUGCGCCCCUUAUCGUACCUGCGCAGCUCGUUCGAGGCGUAAUCCGCCGCGUAGAGCUCGUUGCCCACCACGGCGACCAGCGGCGGCGCGCCCGUGGUGGCGCCCGUGAGCCCCGCGGCCAUGCCGGGCACCAGCCGCCACGCGCGGCGCUCCAAGUCGUACUCCUCGCCGCACGUCAAAUGCUCAGUAUGCGAGCGCAUGCCGCCGAUCACGUAAAACUUGCCGUCCAUGAACACGCCGGAGCACAUCUUCCGGGCGCGGUUCAUGCUCGGGAGGACCUCCCAGCAUUGCCUAUCAGAAUUGUACAUUUCCGCGGAGCUCACAAUCCUGCCGCCGGUGUCGAUCCCUCCGGCGACGACGGCGGUGGCGCCGGAGCUGGCGGAGCCGAACAAGCAGCGGGGGGAGUGCAUGGCGACGCCCUUGGACCAGGAAUUGGUGAGGAUGCUGUAGCGGAGCACAAUGCAGGAGGUCAUGUCCUUGCCGAAGACGAGGAGGUCGGUGGCGACGGCGAGGGACUCCUUGUCGCAGAACAUGAAGCACUCGAGGGGCGGCAUCUUGGGGACGGCGGCGGAGAUCCAGCGGCGGCGGAAGGGGUCGAAGGCGUCCCACUCGAGCACGUUGCAGGAGAAGAAGACCCAGUGCUCGACGGCGCCGGAGCGGCGCCGGAGACGGUAAAGCUCGCCGCUUUGGAGCAGGGAGCGGAAGCUCCGGUUCAGCGAGGCGACGGCGCCGUAGUCGGAGCAGGACAGGUGGAGGAGGCAAUUGAUCGAGAGGUCGCGCCCGAUCACCGGGCUUAUGAGGCUAUCCGGAUCCUCGUGCUCGCCCUCGCCCUCGCCCUCGCCGCCACAGCCGUAAAGCGGGGAAUCCACCACCACCACCAUCUUCUUCUUCUUCUCCUUCUUCUCCUUCUUCUUCGUCGUCUUCUUCUUCUUGCUGAGGACGCCAUUAAUGGGGUGUGGCUCCUCCGCUCGGUCCUCUUCUUCCUCGCCGGCGUAAGCCCGCAUGGAUUCGCGAUCGUAGGAGCUCGGAAGCGCCCGCGACACCAUGCAAGAGGAGUCCCCCUCCCGCAUUGCGCGCGCGCGCGCGCGCGUGUGUAUCCCCCCUCAACAACAAAGUGAAAAAGAUCAAAUUUUUUUUACACAACUUGGAACGACGGGGCCAAAAUGCCUUCACAAGUGUACAAACUCGGGGUUGAAUCUGGGCUUCAGAGGGGGUUUAAAAUCCUGUUUAUUUUGCGUCUUUUGUUGAGAUCUAAACUGAUUUUGUGAAGAAAAAACAGCAGGAGAAAAUUAAGGGGGAAAAAAAAAUGAAAUUGGUGUUCUUGAGGGAUUACUGAUUAGGAAAAAGAGAGACCCAGAAAACAAAAUAAGCAAACAAAGUAAGAGAUUGUAUUGCUUUGAUCAAAACAAGUCUAAAAAACUAAACUUUUAAUAGGAAAGGAGGAGAAAGGUGGGAUUUUUAGAGCAAAGAAGGGGGGGGGGGGGGGGGGGGGGGGGAGGGGGAUUUGAAGGUGCGGUGUGGGAGAACGUGGUGGAAGAGGCCCAGAUAUAAGCGGCCAACUGCUGUGGCCUCUGGGGAAAAGCGGCAAACGCGCUAGACACGCGGAUGCAGGAGAGUAUUCGUUUUGGGGCCCUGUUACCCUCUAAUCAUGUAAAAAAUAAUAUAAUUCUAGAAUAUGAAUAAUAUCUAAUAAUAUGCCUUUAAAUUCUUCUAAAAUAUUUAAUUUAUUUUUAUUUUUUUAUUUCGAAUAUACUUUUCGUGUAAGUUUUCGUCAUUCAAAAAUACUCUCACUACACCGACCGUCCUUAGCGCANGGGGGGAGGGGGUUAUGUGUCACUUUUUUUAGUUUCUUUUCACACUACUUGUGCUAUAGCUAUAGUACAACUGUACAAGCCACCCUUUAGUUUGAUUUUGAUUCGGCUAAAUUACACUUUUGGUACUUGAACUAUCAUUCUCCUGAUAUUUUGAUUCGCAAAUUUUAAUCUAUAAAUAAUUUUUAUUUAAAAUUUUAAAAUUAUUAUAAUUAAAUUUUGUAAUUUAAUUUUGUUGACUAAAUAUUACCGUAUUACUAAUAUGAAAAUAGUAUUGUAUCUUAAUUACUGCUAUGUCAUUAAUCAUAAUACUGUCUCAUCAUUUCUAUACUAGUUAAAUACCCGCGCGAUACUGCGGAUAUAAAAAUAUUUUUAUAAUAAAUUUUACUUUUUUUAAUAUUUUUAUAUAGUUUUAUAAGUCCAAUUAUUAAUUAAAUAAAAGUUAUAUAAAAAUAAUUUAAUAGUUAAAAAUAUUUAAAUAAAAGUUAUUAAAAUUAAUAUAUGCACAAAGUAAAUUUAUACAAUAAUUUAUUUGAUAAAGAUACAUAUGAAAAGAAUUUGAGAUAAAUCUAUCAAAAUAAUUUUAAAAAAUUAAUAAAUAGAAGGAAAAUAAAAUUGUAAAAGAAAUUGUUUAAUAAAAUUAAUUAUAUAUACACAGAAAUACAUUAUAUUUCUAAAAUUUUACUCCUGAAAUUUAAAUAUUAUAUUUUUUUUAUACAACGAUAUUUUGCGUGAUUUAAAUUGCAUCUAUCAAGUUAGAUUUUAUUACAUGAUUUAUUAUGCGUAUUAUUAAUAAAAUUUGGAAAUAAAUAUUAUAAGUUAAAAUUAAAAUUUAGAAUUUUAAAUUUUAAAUUUUAAAAUUUGAUAUCAAAAUUUCAUUACUAAUAAGUUGUUAUACAAUUUAUUAAUAAAAUUAAUUAAUUGUAUAUAUAAUUUUGGAAGUAUGGUUUCCAGAGUAAACCACAAGCCGCCAUGUGGCGCAUUUUCAUAAGAAGUUCUAAUAUAACUUGAUAAUAGUAUAGCUUAUUGUGUUCCAUAUAUAUAUAUAUAUAUAUAUAUAUAUAUAUAUAUUAUAACCUUGUGUUAUUCGAUACGAUAAUAGUUCAAUAUAAUCUUGACAAUAAAUACUUCAAAAAUUAUAACUAAAAAUUUUUGGUAACACAUUUCCAUGCUUCUCGCAUUGGGUCAAUUGCUAGUAUAUAUUGUGUGUGAGAGAAUGAAGUGGAGGGUUGGGGAACAGGUGUCACCCUGAGGUUCCCCAACUCUCUUUUAUGUAAUAGAAAUAGAUAACAGUAUAACUUAUUGUGUUCCAUAUAUAUAUAUAUAAUGAUAAUUUUAGAGAGAGAGAGAGAGAGAGAGAGAGAGAGUGAGUUGAGCUAGAAUACUAUCGAUAGCAAACGGGCUCCCUUGCCACCCAUUUGUUUUCGAUGAUGGAGCCUCCAAAUCGACGAUCGGCACCGUUGAAUAUGAUCUAUACCACUUGAAGUAUUUAGAAAUCAAAUUUCAAAUCUUUUCGACAUCAUUUGCCUAAUGAUCAAAGGGUUCCAAAAUUUGUAAUUUUUAUGGUCGAUAUAAGGCGUUUUCUCGUUUAAUGGCGUAAAGAUAUGCAAAUCAAUUAAAUUUUUGUUAGAAAAUUCUUUAAACUAUUUAAAAUAAGAUUUAUAGUCUUGAUCUUGAUUACAAGACUUCUAUCAUCAUUUUUUAAAGAAUAUUCAUUUUCAGCCGUUCAUUUUUGUGUCCACUCGAUGGAUAAGAGAACAAUAUCGAAAAUGUAUGAAAUUUGAUUUCUAAACACUUCAAGUGGUAUAGAUCAUGUUAAACAGUGUCGAUCGUUGUUUUGGAGGCUCCAUUAUCGAAAAUAAAUGGGUGGCAACGGAACCCGUUUGCUAUCGAUAGUAUUCUAGCUCAACUAUAUAUAUAUAUAUAUAUAUAUAUAUAUAUAUAUAUAUAUAUAUAACAGUUUUACAAAAAAUUUCAAUAUGACUUGACAAUAAAUUACUCAAAAAUUAUAACUAAAAAUUGGUAACAACAUUUUCAUGCAUCGCAUGGGUCAAUUGCUAGUAAACCUGGCAAACGGGCGGGUUGGGUAACCCAUGGGCGGGUUAUUGUACCCGCGGGAUACUUGGGCGGGUAAAAUUUGCCUGCAAAUUUUGGGCGGUCAAUAUCUUUACCCAUACCCGCCCGCGGGUGGGCGAGUGGAUAUGCGGGUUACUCGUAAUUUUUUUUUUGUUCUUAUAUUUUUAAAUGCAAAACACAUAUAUAUAAGUUUUAAAAGCGUAAUAUAACUCAUUGUUUAAAAUACCAUAACAUAUAAUAAAAAUAUUUAAAGUCUUAAAGUAAAAAUAUUUCAUAAUAUAAAAGACACGCAAUAAGAAAUUAGGAUUAGAAUUUUUAAGAUGAAUAAAUAAAAAAUAUAUAUUAAUUAAGAAAAUAUAUUUUAUAACUAAAAAAUAUAUGUGCGGGUACUCGUGGGUACCCGCGGGUUACCCAAAAUGCCCACUGCUUAAUGGGUGGUACUCGUGGGUACCCGCGGGUUACCCGUAAUUUUUUAGGUUGGAAAAGUUGGUAUCCAUACCCGUAAAUUUGUGGGUAACCCGCGAGUACCCGUGGGUUUGGGUCAAGAUUGCCGAAUCUAAUUGCUAGUAUAUAUAUGUGUGUGAGAGAGAAUGAAGUGGAGGGUUGGGGAACAGGUGUCACCCUGAGGUUCCCCCAACUCUCUUUUAAUGUAACAGAAAUAGAUUAGCGCCACAUUUACUAUAAAUUAAAUUUAAAAAAUUAAAAUGCCAUGUAUCUUGUAAUUCGAGGACCAAAAGUGUAAUCUAGCCUUUUGCUUUUGCGCCAUUUUAAUUUAAAAAAUACUAGCAAUAUAUUCCAAAAAAAUCAAAUCAUACAUCUUACACCUCUGAUCCUAUAAUUUGUAAAAUUUAUAUUGUGUAAUUUGUAAAUACAAUAACAUUUUCUUUUGUUGGUUUUUUUUGGAGGAAAAUAUGUAUUAGAAUUAUGUGAACUUUGGCCAAAUUGUAAGUAAUUAUAUUAACUGUAUAAAUAUUAAAAUUAGCCAUCUAAAUAAUAAUAAAUUUGAAUUCCAACAUCAAGGUUGUGUUUUCGUCAAUUCGUAAAAUGGAUUACGACGAAAUUGCUGUUCAAAUGAUAAUUUUUAAUGUCUUAAAAAGUCAGGAUAAUGAAUUAUAAUUCGACACAAGUUUAAAUAAUAUUGUGGCUUCUUUUUUUUUUUUUUUUAAAAAAAAUCUUAUAAGAUAUUUUAGACUUAGUUUGAAACCACUAACACUUUUUAAUUUUUCAUUAAACAAAAAUUUUAUACGAUAAUGCUUAUCUAAACUAUGGACCAUUUGAUUUAGCUAUCCAAUUUUUUAAAAUUUUAAUUUUAUUAUUCAAAAUUUUAAUUUGUUUGAUUUGAGUUUGUUAACAACGCUUUAACUUACAAAAUUUAAAUAUAUUGUUUAUCUUUAUAUAUUUAGUUAGUAUACUUCAUGCAAUUUUAGCAACUGUAAAUUUAUUAAAAUAAGUAAUUAGCUUAAAUUUUAAAUUCAAAAUAUCGUUGACUAUCUCAAAUCAAAUAAAUUUAAAAAAGUUGGAUAGUAAAUCAAAUUUUGAAAGUUUGGAUAGCCGAUUUAAAAUAGUCGAUAGUUCAAAUAAGUUUUAUAUGUUUUUACCUAAUAAUUUCUACUUUAUUAAUAUUACACUAUAUAUCUUUCUCACAAACAUAUUCGGUCAUUCAAAACAAAUAAUUAAAAAAUCAGGUUGAACCGGCUGGUCAACCGGUUCGAUCGUGACCCAAUCUAUGAAAUGGUUCGGUUCAAUUUUUUGAGCCGGAGAAGACAAAAAACUAUUUUGAACCAUUCGAACCGACUUUCAACUAUCGAAUUGAUGAACUUAUUCGAUUUUAAUCAAACCGAGCUACCUUUACCAGUCAAGUCAUAUUAAAAUCCAACAGUUUAAAGUCAAAUUAGCUAAUUUUAUUUUCUAUUAAUACAGAUUAGUUUUAUAAACGGUGAAAUUUAGAACUUUGUAUUUACUUAAUUCGGUUUAGAAAUUAAUAUUUUAUAAUUAAGUAUGAUAUUAGAAUAAUAAUAUUACAUUUAUGUAUAUAAUAAAAUUUAAAAUAAUAAUUAAAUAUUUAUGGCAUUAUACUGACGUAACUAGUGAUUCUUGACCCAAUAAUAUUUUAUAUCGCUGUUACCUAAAACUCUCUUCUUUUGCACUUUCUCUCUCUUACCAAUGUAUAGGAACAUUCGAAUACUUGAAUUGGAUGGAAUUACUUUUUUUUUUUUUUAUUGUAUGGUAACUUAUUAGCAAACAAUGUUGUUUUUGAUUUUAUUGAGUAGAUUUUGAUAAAUAUAAGCAUCCAACAAUUUGAGACUCAAUUUAAUACAAGUCCGUUGAAACGGCCCAACACACGGCAUCGUGCUAUCACAGAAAUUCUGAUUUGGAGCUUCUGCAGUGACGUGUUAAAUCGUAAUAAUGUGCAGACUGAAUCGCUUCACAAAUGUCGCAUGCUGAAUACAGAACUUCUGGAACCGCAUAUUCCACCGCACAUAAGAAUCUGAAUAAAAUAAUUGUCUAUAUAAUUUGAAUUUUCAAAAUAUAGGAAGAUUUAUCAAUCCAAAAAUAUAUAUAUGUGUGUGCUAAAAAAAACACAAUAUAAGAAGAUUUUUGAGUCAUAUAUGUGUGCAAAAAAACACGUUGUACCUCACACGUGCGACGCCAAAAUAGGACGAAAAGAGAAGGUACCUCACACGCGUGGAGGGUACGCAGAGUAUACGGCGUUUUGUUACACGUGAUAAGAAUUUAUUAAAAGAAAAUAAGAAAAGUGAAAAAAAUACUAACGGGCCCCUCAACUAUAUAGAUCGAAAUAAAAUCCCCAACUAUAAUUUUUGAUUUUUUUUUUUGUUAAACCAUUUAUUUUUAUUUCUGACUAUAUGUGCUUCGCUGCGUGUCUUCAAAUAUUUAUAUUUAUAAUUAAUAAAAAGGCUCGCGAACUGCAAAUAAACCUUAUCCUUUCGCGCAUUGAGCGUAAUAUUUGUUUUGCGAACUGUGCUGACAGUUGAAGGUUUCGGGCGCUGACACUUUAUUAUAAAAGAUUUGUACUCACUUAGUAUGUUUCGUACAAAUGUCUUUACGUGUAGAGAAGAUGUGAGUCACCAUUCGUCAGCGCAUUUGAAGUGAGAAUUUGGAGCUUCUCAAACUAAAAUGGGAGGAAUUUAAUAACUUGGAAGGAUUUUGGUACUUCCUUUUGUUACGUAGCAAUUUAUGGAAAAUGGUAAGAGCAAAUCAUAUUUAGAUUUAGUUUUUAACCACUUUACUUCUACAAUUUUGUUUUCUUUUUUUUCUAAAUGCAUUUUAAUUUCUACAUUUAGAACUAUAGCUUUUUCAAAAUAGAGCAUCCCACACAUAAAUUUUGAGCAAAACAAUAACUUUUUAUAUUGAGAUUAUCUGAUGCCUUAAUAAUUAUUUUCGAACUUUGUAAUUAACUAUAAAUAGAACUUUUAAAUAUUAUAAAUUAAAGUUUCCUUAUUUUUACAAUAUCAUUUCUAGAUUUAUUUCGCCACGAAAUAAAUAGUGGCUCUUGCUCUUCAAAAAUUUACAACAGAUAAAAAGGUAAUUUUAUGUACUAAUUUUUUUUAAAACUAAAAUUAGAACCAAGUAGGUUUAACUAAUUAUAGUAAUUUUUGAAACUCAAAAGAGAAUUGAGUCCAAGAAUAAACUAAACUUAGGCAAUAAAAAGGGAACAAAUUGAAAUAUAAGAGAAAGUGGGGGGCUAUGAAUAAAGUUUUAAUCUAUUCCACGCAAAAAUUGAGAUUUCACAUGCGAUUUCACAUGCAAAGCGUGGUAUCUUUCUUACUGAUUAUUAUAUGACGUUAAAGGUUUUCAGUGUUGACACCUCAUUGUUGAGAAUCUGUACUGAUUUGGUACGUUUCGUACAAGUGUUUUUACGUGUAGAGGAGGUGUGAGUUGGCAUUUAUUAUCGCAUUUGAAGUAUAUAAGAAUUUUGAUUAUUUCUUAAAACUUAAAAGUGAUGAAAUUUAAUGACCUCGAAAGAU